UUGAAGAGUUUGAUCAUGGCUCAGAUUGAACGCUGGCGGCAGGCCUAACACAUGCAAGUCGAGCGGUAGCACAGAGAGCUUGCUCUCGGGUGACGAGCGGCGGACGGGUGAGUAAUGUCUGGGAAACUGCCUGAUGGAGGGGGAUAACUACUGGAAACGGUAGCUAAUACCGCAUAAUGUCGCAAGACCAAAGUGGGGGACCUUCGGGCCUCAUGCCAUCAGAUGUGCCCAGAUGGGAUUAGCUUGUAGGUGGGGUAACGGCUCACCUAGGCGACGAUCCCUAGCUGGUCUGAGAGGAUGACCAGCCACACUGGAACUGAGACACGGUCCAGACUCCUACGGGAGGCAGCAGUGGGGAAUAUUGCACAAUGGGCGCAAGCCUGAUGCAGCCAUGCCGCGUGUGUGAAGAAGGCCUUCGGGUUGUAAAGCACUUUCAGCGGGGAGGAAGGCGGUGAGGUUAAUAACCUCAUCGAUUGACGUUACCCGCAGAAGAAGCACCGGCUAACUCCGUGCCAGCAGCCGCGGUAAUACGGAGGGUGCAAGCGUUAAUCGGAAUUACUGGGCGUAAAGCGCACGCAGGCGGUCUGUCAAGUCGGAUGUGAAAUCCCCGGGGCUCAACCUGGGAACUGCAUUCGAAACUGGCAGGCUAGAGUCUUGUAGAGGGGGGUAGAAUUCCAGGUGUAGCGGUGAAAUGCGUAGAGAUCUGGAGGAAUACCGGUGGCGAAGGCGGCCCCCUGGACAAAGACUGACGCUCAGGUGCGAAAGCGUGGGGAGCAAACAGGAUUAGAUACCCUGGUAGUCCACGCCGUAAACGAUGUCGAUUUGGAGGUUGUGCCCUUGAGGCGUGGCUUCCGGAGCUAACGCGUUAAAUCGACCGCCUGGGGAGUACGGCCGCAAGGUUAAAACUCAAAUGAAUUGACGGGGGCCCGCACAAGCGGUGGAGCAUGUGGUUUAAUUCGAUGCAACGCGAAGAACCUUACCUGGUCUUGACAUCCACAGAACUUAGCAGAGAUGCUUUGGUGCCUUCGGGAACUGUGAGACAGGUGCUGCAUGGCUGUCGUCAGCUCGUGUUGUGAAAUGUUGGGUUAAGUCCCGCAACGAGCGCAACCCUUAUCCUUUGUUGCCAGCGGUCCGGCCGGGAACUCAAAGGAGACUGCCAGUGAUAAACUGGAGGAAGGUGGGGAUGACGUCAAGUCAUCAUGGCCCUUACGACCAGGGCUACACACGUGCUACAAUGGCAUAUACAAAGAGAAGCGACCUCGCGAGAGCAAGCGGACCUCAUAAAGUAUGUCGUAGUCCGGAUUGGAGUCUGCAACUCGACUCCAUGAAGUCGGAAUCGCUAGUAAUCGUAGAUCAGAAUGCUACGGUGAAUACGUUCCCGGGCCUUGUACACACCGCCCGUCACACCAUGGGAGUGGGUUGCAAAAGAAGUAGGUAGCUUAACCUUCGGGAGGGCGCUUACCACUUUGUGAUUCAUGACUGGGGUGAAGUCGUAACAAGGUAACCGUAGGGGAACCUGCGGUUGGAUCACCUCCUU
RNAcentral lists this ribosomal RNA (1537 nucleotides) under Klebsiella pneumoniae. RNAcentral's name for it is "bacterial SSU rRNA". It matches the Rfam family "Bacterial small subunit ribosomal RNA". Lineage: Bacteria; Pseudomonadati; Pseudomonadota; Gammaproteobacteria; Enterobacterales; Enterobacteriaceae. The record is from RNAcentral.